GUGAACUCGACCCUCACGUGAACGCGCGUGAGACACUUGGCCGGAAGCGAUGUUUUAUAGUUAAAGUUUAAAACAUGAGUAUUUUUCUUACACACACUUAUCGUUUGGCUCCAGAAGACACUGAUUCAUCCACUGGGGUCGUAUGGAUUACAUGAUGGCUGUAUGAACUUUCUGGAGCUCAUUCGCUUGUAUUAUAUGGACUAACAGAGAUGGAUAAUUUUUCUAAAAAUCUUCAUUUAUCUUCAUCUGAAGAAAGAAAGUCAUAUACAUCUGGGAUGGCAUGAGGCUGAGUCAUUGCAGAGUUUAAUCGCUUCACAAGCAAAAGCCUCAAGCAAGAUUUCUUCUCAACACUUGAUCAACAUACAGCUCGUUUUCUGGAAUUUUUUUAAUCAAAGAAGGGGCAGUUGGAAAGAGGCUUUCUGAGAUCUUUGAGCAAAUUAAGUCUAUGAGCACUGACAUCACUGCUAAGCACACAGCAGUUCUCCAUGGCCUUCCUCUCAUUCUGGAGAAGAAACCACUGACAUCUUUAAAUAUGGGAAUAUCAACACAAACGAAAAGACAAUAAUGUAUGGAAUAUUUAAACAAAAAAUAGCCAAAAAUAUAAACAUUGGCUUUAAGUAAAAAAUGUGGAAAACAAGGAGCACAAUGAUCAGUAAGCAAUGCCAUCUCCCAGCUGAGACGCUUUUUAAACUAAUCUUAAAUGAACUAAAAAGACAAAGGACAAUGGAGUGAAGAUCUAAAAAUAAAUCUCCAUGGUCUUUAUUAAAAAUAUGAUCUCUGUAAAUAUU
Pangasianodon hypophthalmus (striped catfish) is the source of this 788-nucleotide long non-coding RNA. RefSeq lists it as uncharacterized. The record is from RefSeq and is a predicted model, not a curated record. The transcript is spliced from 3 exons. Lineage: Eukaryota; Metazoa; Chordata; Actinopteri; Siluriformes; Pangasiidae.